UUUUUUCAAGGUGUUUUCCAAGCAAUUAAAAGGUUCAAUGUAAACAAGUCAAUUAAUCCUAAUUGAAAAUCUAAGCAUGUUAAUAUCUGAUUUUUAUGUCAAAAUGUAUUAACUAUAAUUAACAAAAAUAUAUAAAAAGAAUGGCAAAAAUAAAAUAACAAAAAAAAUGAAACAAAGCAUAAAACAGGGAGGGGGUUUGAGCUGGAAAAUAUGGUGUAGAAACCAACUAGGGCGCAAGGCUCAAUGUGGCUUUCAACUUGGAAUCAGAAGAUACAUGAGCAAUUAACGGGUCUGGGAUGGAAUGUGAGCCAAAUUUCAUAUGAGAGAAAAGUUCAAGAGCUACGUGUUCAUGCUGUCAUCUGAAACUCACGUGUUUCACAUGCCUAAGUGUCCAGUUCAAAAGAAAUCACCGGCGGCGGCGGAGCCUAAACGACUAAAACAUUAUACCAAACUUUUCAUUUUAAUACCCUGAGUACUAGUCCAUGAUCAAUUUUCCAAAAUUCUUUAUCAAUUAAACAAACACGGUCGAUUCACAUAAGAACCCUAACUAGAAAUUUUAAAAAUUAAACUCCAAUCAUCUGGAAUCAAAGCCCUAGGGGUUGAGGCUUUGAUUCCCCAAUCUUAUACCUACAUUCUGGUAACUAACUCGGUGCAAAUGGAGGGAAAAACUUGAAAACUCACCGGCGGAGAAGAUGCGGAGGGAAACAAUAUUCAGGUAAAUCUCUUAUGAAUCUUUUUUUGCUCUUCGAAUCUGAUUACUCCUUAUCUACUUCUUCUUCAACCUUUUUCUUCUUCUACUGCGUGUACGUGAGACUGAGGCUUUUGAAUAGUGACGAGAGAAUUGAGAUUGGAGAGUGAUAGUGAUAAGAAAGUGAUUCUAAUUGGAGGGUGAAGUGUGUAAAUUUGUGUGAUUUGAAGGAUUGAAUGAAUCUGGGAAAUUUCCGAAUCUUCAUGAAUGAAGAGUGAAGUGAGGGAUUUAUAGGAGGGAAAAGUUAACAAAAGUUAACUCAGUUAGAUUUUUUUCAAACAAAACAGUUAGGUCUUAAUUAACUCUGAGAAUUAGUUAGAGAUGAAAUUGGAGAAAAAAAGUUUGUUAUGGAAGUUAGUGUUAGAUUCGAUUUCUAUUAGGUAUGUUAUGAAUUGGAUGAAAUUCGAUUUUUACUGUUAGUCUUGCAGUUAAAUGUUAAAUUCUUUUAUAGUUAGUUGUUAAUGAGCUGUUAAAUUAGAACCUAGUUAUCAAGUGUUAAUUUAUGUUAUGGUUAGUUGCUAAUUGGUUAAUGAGAGCUUUGGAUCAUGUUAGUUGCAAGUUGUUGAUGUAAAAUUAAGGAGUUAGUUGGAUGAAUGUUAAUUAUCGGGUUUUGGACUAAGCCUGCAAACUGCUUGUUAUAUCUUUGGUUCAAUUAACUGAAAAUGUUAAAAAAUACCAUGUAUGUUAGUUUCUUUGUUGUACCAACUUACCCAAUUCCUGCUAUAUGAAAAAAAAGAUGUUAAUUAUGUUAGUAGGCCUGCUUGGUUUUUGUUCAGUUAGUAAUGCUAGGUUGUGAAGAAUUUCCCUAUUCCUGUUAAUGUAUAUGCUGCUGCUAUUGUUGUAUUGUUACUUGCAAUGAAUGGUUGUUUAACUGCAUUGGUGAUUAGGUUAGUUUUGUUAUGGAUAAUGCGUUGAAAUCAUGCCAUGGCUUCUAGCUAGUUAUUUGUUGGUGAAUGGAUUUAUAUGAUGUUAACUCUGAAUGCAUUUAUGUUAGAAUGUAGUAGUCAUGUUCUGGCCUGCUAUGCAUGAUACUAAUGAUGCUUGGCAAUUGAUUGAAUGCACAUGCUUGAUUAUUGGUUUGACAUGGUUAGUAUGUGAAUGAUGUAAUGGAAUGUUAGCUUGAAAUUAGAUGAAUGACCCUUCUAUAAUGUGUUGUUGUGAACUAAAUAUGUUAGAUGAUGAAUGAUAUGCUUCUGGAAUGUUGCUGACAAAUGAAUGUAUUUUGGAUACAUCUUGUUGCUAAUACAUUGCCAUGUCUGCUAAGUGAAAUAGUGCUUUCCAUGCAUGCUUGUAAUUGUCACCUUAUGCUCAUGAUGUGAAUUGUACUUGAAUGCCUUAUUGUCUUAUUGUAUUAUAUGUUACUUGGGAAACCAAAUCAUGCCAUGGCUGCUAAUUCAAUGUUUGAUGAUUAUAAUGAUAGGGCUAGUUUGAGUGGAGUGCAAGCCUUGGUGCUUGGAAUCAAGAUGUUUGGAAUGCACAUGAAGAAAAAAAAAGCUUACUUACAAGUGAAGUUAUGCCAUGAAGUUGAAAGAAAAGCACGAGGAAACCAAAUGGAAACUAGGAAUUAGGUUUGAUGAUUAGAUGAGUUGAUUUGGUCAACUGGGUGACCAAAAAGUCAACAGUUGACCAAGUCAAUUAUAGGUAAAAAUUCAGUUUUUGUAAUUUCUUUGUAUGAACAUUAUAUGGACAUUGUAACAUGAUAUGUGUGAAUGUAAUUAAAGUUCUAUUUGAAUGUAAUUAAAGUUUUAUUUGAAUGAGAAAAGCUCUUAUGACUAAUACAAUAUGUUUUAAUUCAAAUUAUCAUUUUCCCCUCCAAAUGUCAUGUUUAAAAAUCAACUUGACACAAAGAUCUUAAAUGCAUCCUA
RNAcentral lists this long non-coding RNA (2613 nucleotides) under Lathyrus oleraceus (garden pea). RNAcentral describes it as "Pisum sativum (pea) long non-coding RNA (PSAT_LNC033987)". The record is from RNAcentral. Lineage: Eukaryota; Viridiplantae; Streptophyta; Magnoliopsida; Fabales; Fabaceae.